ACGGGGGGUGCAAGCGUUGUUCGGAAUUAUUGGGCGUAAAGAGCGUGUAGGCGGCUGAAUAAGUCAGAUGUGAAAUCCCUGGGCUUAACUCAGGAAGUGCAUUUGAAACUGUUCAGCUCGAGUAGGGGAGAGGAAAGUGGAAUUCCUGGUGUAGAGGUGAAAUGCGUAGAUAUCAGGAGGAACACCGGUGGCGAAGGCGGCUUUCUGGACCUAUACUGACGCUGAGGCGCGAGAGCGUUGGGAGCAAACAG
RNAcentral lists this ribosomal RNA (251 nucleotides) under uncultured prokaryote. Its description in RNAcentral is "partial 16S rRNA". It matches the Rfam family "Bacterial small subunit ribosomal RNA", at positions 525 to 775 of the family's 1533-position model. The record is from RNAcentral.